Molecule: ribosomal RNA, 439 nt
Filed under: uncultured bacterium
Lineage: Bacteria
Description: partial 16S ribosomal RNA
Rfam family: Bacterial small subunit ribosomal RNA
Source: RNAcentral
CUACGGGUGGCUGCAGUGAGGAAUAUUGCACAAUGGAGGAAACUCUGAUGCAGCAACGCCGCGUGGAGGAUGACACUUUUCGGAGCGUAAACUCCUUUUAUAUAGGAAGAAGAUGACGGUACUAUAUGAAUAAGCGCCGGCUAACUCCGUGCCAGCAGCCGCGGUAAUACGGAGGGCGCAAGCGUUACUCGGAAUCACUGGGCGUAAAGAGCGUGUAGGCGGAUUAAAAAGUCAGAAGUGAAAUCCUAUAGCUUAACUAUAGAACUGCUUCUGAAACUCUUAAUCUAGAAUAUGGGAGAGGUAGAUGGAAUUUCUGGUGUAGGGGUAAAAUCCGUAGAGAUCAGAAGGAAUACCGAUUGCGAAGGCGAUCUACUAGGACAUUAUUGACGCUGAGACGCGAAAGCGUGGGGAGCAAACAGGAUUAGAUACCCCUGUAGUC